This 133-nucleotide small nucleolar RNA is filed under the name Caenorhabditis japonica. RNAcentral describes it as "snoRNA CJA48563". It matches the Rfam family "Caenorhabditis snoRNA ceN42". The record is from Rfam by way of RNAcentral. Lineage: Eukaryota; Metazoa; Nematoda; Chromadorea; Rhabditida; Rhabditidae.
UUUCCUUCUUAUCCUGCACGCAGUUUGUUCAUUGACUGUGGAGCCUGGAAAUGGAGGAGAAAUCAAUUUGAGGGGGUGCUAAUGCGGCAUGUCUUCUUCUGAAGAUGUGAAGCUUGUGCUGCCUUGCACAUUU